UACAGAGGGUGCGAGCGUUAAUCGGAGUUACUGGGCGUAAAGGGCGCGUAGGCGGUUUAAUAAGUAAGAUGUGAAAUCCCCGGGCUUAACCUGGGAACUGCAUCUUAAACUGUUAGACUGGAGUACAGUAGAGGGUAGUGGAAUUUCCGGUGUAGCGGUGAAAUGCGUAGAUAUCGGAAGGAACACCAGUGGCGAAGGCGGCUACCUGGACAGAUACUGACACUGAGGCGCGAGAGCGUGGGGAGCAAACAGG
RNAcentral lists this ribosomal RNA (253 nucleotides) under uncultured bacterium. RNAcentral's name for it is "partial 16S ribosomal RNA". It matches the Rfam family "Bacterial small subunit ribosomal RNA", at positions 524 to 776 of the family's 1533-position model. The record is from RNAcentral.